UCGGGGUGAGCGGCGGACGGGUUAGUAACGCGUGGGAACGUACCCUUCUCUACGGAAUAGCCAUUGGAAACGAUGAGUAAUACCGGAUAGUCUCUUCGGAGUAAAAAUUUAUUGCUUGGGGAGGAGCCUACGUUCUAUCAGCUAGUUGGUGAGGUAAAAGCUCACCAAGGCUAUGACGGAUAGUUGGUCUGAGAGGAUGACCAGCCACAAUGGAACUGAGACACGGUCCAUACUCC
RNAcentral lists this ribosomal RNA (236 nucleotides) under uncultured bacterium. RNAcentral's name for it is "partial 16S ribosomal RNA". It matches the Rfam family "Bacterial small subunit ribosomal RNA", at positions 86 to 339 of the family's 1533-position model. The record is from RNAcentral.